This 654-nucleotide ribosomal RNA is filed under the name Erwinia sp. Its description in RNAcentral is "bacterial SSU rRNA". It matches the Rfam family "Bacterial small subunit ribosomal RNA", at positions 767 to 1420 of the family's 1533-position model. The record is from RNAcentral. Lineage: Bacteria; Pseudomonadati; Pseudomonadota; Gammaproteobacteria; Enterobacterales; Erwiniaceae.
AGCAAACAGGAUUAGAUACCCUGGUAGUCCACGCCGUAAACGAUGUCGACUUGGAGGUUGUGCCCUUGAGGCGUGGCUUCCGGAGCUAACGCGUUAAGUCGACCGCCUGGGGAGUACGGCCGCAAGGUUAAAACUCAAAUGAAUUGACGGGGGCCCGCACAAGCGGUGGAGCAUGUGGUUUAAUUCGAUGCAACGCGAAGAACCUUACCUGGCCUUGACAUCCACGGAAUUUGGCAGAGAUGCCUUAGUGCCUUCGGGAACCGUGAGACAGGUGCUGCAUGGCUGUCGUCAGCUCGUGUUGUGAAAUGUUGGGUUAAGUCCCGCAACGAGCGCAACCCUUAUCCUUUGUUGCCAGCACGUAAUGGUGGGAACUCAAAGGAGACUGCCGGUGAUAAACCGGAGGAAGGUGGGGAUGACGUCAAGUCAUCAUGGCCCUUACGGCCAGGGCUACACACGUGCUACAAUGGCGCAUACAAAGAGAAGCGACCUCGCGAGAGCAAGCGGACCUCAUAAAGUGCGUCGUAGUCCGGAUCGGAGUCUGCAACUCGACUCCGUGAAGUCGGAAUCGCUAGUAAUCGUAGAUCAGAAUGCUACGGUGAAUACGUUCCCGGGCCUUGUACACACCGCCCGUCACACCAUGGGAGUGGGUUGCAA